This 1343-nucleotide ribosomal RNA is filed under the name uncultured bacterium. RNAcentral's name for it is "16S ribosomal RNA". It matches the Rfam family "Bacterial small subunit ribosomal RNA", at positions 28 to 1378 of the family's 1533-position model. The record is from RNAcentral.
GACGAACGCUUGCGGCGUGCUUAACACAUGCAAGUCGAACGGAAAGGCCCUGCUUUUGUGGGGUGCUCGAGUGGCGAACGGGUGAGUAACACGUGAGUAACCUGCCCUUGACUUUGGGAUAACUCCAGGAAACUGGGGCUAAUACCGGAUAGGAGCUCCUGCUGCAUGGUGGGGGUUGGAAAGUUUCGGCGGUUGGGGAUGGACUCGCGGCUUAUCAGCUUGUUGGUGGGGUAGUGGCUUACCAAGGCUUUGACGGGUAGCCGGCCUGAGAGGGUGACCGGCCACAUUGGGACUGAGAUACGGCCCAGACUCCUACGGGAGGCAGCAGUGGGGAAUAUUGCACAAUGGGCGGAAGCCUGAUGCAGCAACGCCGCGUGCGGGAUGACGGCCUUCGGGUUGUAAACCGCUUUCGCCUGUGACGAAGCGUGAGUGACGGUAAUGGGUAAAGAAGCACCGGCUAACUACGUGUCAGCAGCCGCGGUGAUACGUAGGGUGCGAGCGUUGUCCGGAUUUAUUGGGCGUAAAGGGCUCGUAGGUGGUUGAUCGCGUCGGAAGUGUAAUCUUGGGGCUUAACCCUGAGCGUGCUUUCGAUACGGGUUGACUUGAGGAAGGUAGGGGAGAAUGGAAUUCCUGGUGGAGCGGUGGAAUGCGCAGAUAUCAGGAGGAACACCAGUGGCGAAGGCGGUUCCCUGGGCCUUUCCUGACGCUGAGGAGCGAAAGCGUGGGGAGCGAACAGGCUUAGAUACCCUGGUAGUCCACGCUGUAAACGGUGGGUACUAGGUGUGGGGUCCAUUCCACGGGUUCCGUGCCGUAGCUAACGCUUUAAGUACCCCGCCUGGGGAGUACGGCCGCAAGGCUAAAACUCAAAGGAAUUGACGGGGCCCCGCACAAGCGGCGGAGCAUGCGGAUUAAUUCGAUGCAACGCGUAGAACCUUACCUGGGUUUGACAUGGAUCGGGAGUGCUCAGAGAUGGGUGUGCCUCUUUUGGGGUCGGUUCACAGGUGGUGCAUGGCUGUCGUCAGCUCGUGUCGUGAGAUGUUGGGUUAAGUCCCGCAACGAGCGCAACCCUUGUUCACUGUUGCCAGCACGUUAUGGUGGGGACUCAGUGGAGACCGCCGGGGUCAACUCGGAGGAAGGUGGGGAUGACGUCAAGUCACCAUGCCCCUUAUGUCCAGGGCUUCACGCAUGCUACAAUGGCUGGUACAGAGAGUGGCGAGCCUGUGAGGGUGAGCGAAUCUCGGAAAGCCGGUCUCAGUUCGGAUUGGGGUCUGCAACUCGACCUCAUGAAGUCGGAGUCGCUAGUAAUCGCAGAUCAGCAACGCUGCGGUGAAUACGUUCCCGGG